GCGCUGCCAAUUCUGGAUACCCCGCCCUGUGAACCCGCUAACAAGUAGCCUUUCCAAACUGCAAAAAGGUGCAUUGAGCGAGGUUGAAAAGUAAGACCUUUCUUUUUUUUUUUUUUUUAAAGAAAAGAAACUUUCAAAAUGAAAAGGUUUUUUUUGGUCUUAUCUGCAAAAUGUGAAUUGUCAAUAGUAAUAAUACCCAACCCACAGACUGGGUAAGGAUUUAUUUAAAUAGGAUUUAAAAAAUUAUAAAACGUGAAGUAAGACUUCCUGUCUCCCUAUUGAUGAACAUGGGAGCGGUUGGAACUAUUUCGUAGUGGAACCGUUCGGUAGUUCUAAAUUAGCACGAGUGUUUAGAAGCUCGAUUAGGAAUUAGCUAGUAAAAUUACGUCUGCCUACUUCACUUCUAGGAAAAUUCUUGCGCAUGUGCCCAAAGAAACACCUACAGAUACAAGAAUAUUCAUGGCAACUCUUCAUAGUUUUAAAAAGCUGUAAACUUAAUCGUCAUUAGUAAACUGUAAACUCUGGUGUUUACGCCAUAUAACAGUAUAUGGUAGGUAGAAUGAACUAGUGCUAUAUCUACUAACACGGAGAACCUAAAAAAUGAUAAAGCAAACACCUAUUUUGCACGUAUUGUAGAGUGUGUAGUAUAAAAGAGCAUUUAAAUAGUUCAAAAACAUAUAAAAUAAAUUAACAUAAAAAUAUGUUAGCAAAAUUUAAAAGAAAUGCAUUAGAACUGUAUAUACUAAAAUUUCAAGAGAGUGAACCAGAGGGAGAUGUGAUUGAGAAGUGGACAUAGACUUCAAAUGCUUUGUUAAUGGUUUUUUAUUUUGUUUUUCUCUUUUGGAGGCCUCAAAGCAUAUGGAUUUCCCUGGCCAAGGAUCAGAUCCCAGCAGCAGUGUCGACCUAGCUGCAGCUGCAGCAGUGCUGGAGCCUUGGGAUUGGACCUGUAUCCCAGCGCUCCCAAGAGGCCACUGAUCCUAAUGUGCCACAGCGGGAACUCCGAUAACAUUUUAUUUUUUAGGUUGGUAGUCGUUAAACAGGUGUGCUGUACAUUUUUAUUUGUACCUUUUGAUAUGUCCAAAACAUUUAAUAAUGAAUUAAUUUUUAUUUUUUAAAGUAAAUCUCCAGUCCAUCCCCUUCCUCAGCCAUCCAGUUAUCCAGUUUCCUCUAUUAGUUAACAGGUUAUCGCUUUACUAUUUGAUUUUUUUUCAAAGAAUGAUUCUUGCAUGCAUAUUUAUUAUUGCUAUCAUUUUUCUGUCUUCUGAUUCUUCAGUUUCUGCUUUUGAAUUUGCUAAUUCCUUCUUUCUGUUCUCUAGGCUCAUAUGCUAUUCUUUUUCUAAGUUCUAUGGUAAUGCCCAAGUUACUUAUAUUCUUGUUUAUUACUAUAGUUAUUUUUGUCAACCACUUCUCUAAGCACUGCUUCAACUGUAACUAAUAACCAUAGAGUGCUUUUAUUAUUGAUAUUUUUUACAUAGUCUCAUUUUCUUAACUUUGAUUUUCUUUUUUGACUUAAGAGUAGUGUGAGGUAGAUUUUAAUAAUAAUAAACUAUUUUUAGAGCAGAUUUAGUUUUACGGGAAAUUUAGCAGAUAGUACAGAGUUUCUGUCUAUAUAUCCCUUUUUACCUAUCAGAGAUUUUCCUAUUAUUAUUGUUUUGCAUUAAGGUGGUACAUUUAUUACAAUUGAUGAGCCAGUAUUGAUACAUUGUUAUUAAUUAAAGCCCAUAGUUUGUUUCACUGUUGUGUUGUACAUAUAUACCAUAUGCAUGCUUGAAUUUUUAGACUGUCUCUGAAGUAGUUAUGCAAGAAACUGAUCAUUGUUAUUGCCUCCAGGGUUGAUGGCUAAUGCACACAAAUAGAAUUUGUUUCCAUGUACAUUGUAUUACCUAAUAAAAGGUAAAAUUUCUAAAAGUGAAUAAGAAAAAACUUGUAUAACUUAAAAGAGUAUAAACAACUCUUUUAAGAACUUUUAUUGUAUAGAACAAAGAUAUGAGGUGGUUGUUGGAGGGGAAUGUGGACUUAAGAAAGAGUAUUUUAAAGAGUAUUUUUGGAAUGGAGGCUAAUAGAGCAUGUAGAUUGAUGAGAAUGAAGCAUGGGGAGAGAAACGGUGAUGAUGAAGAGACAUGGGAAUAUUUGAAGUGGCAAAGUACCAAGUAGAUGGGUGGGAUGAUACCUGGUGGCCAAGUAGAAAGCGAUCUUUUGGAGUUCCUGUCAUGGCGCAGCGGAAAUGAAUCCAACUAGGAACGAUGAGGUUGCAGGUUUGAUGCCUGGCCCCACUCAGGGGGUUAAGGAUCCGGCAUUGCCGUGAACUGUGGUGUAGGUCGAAGACGAGGCUUGGAUCUGGUGUUGUUGUGGCUCUGGCGUAGGCCGGCAGUAGCAGCUCCAAUUAGACCCCUAGCCUGGGAACCUGCAUAUGCCUUGGUUGCGGCCCUAUUAAAAAAAAAAAAAAGAAAAAAAAAAAAAGAAAGUAAUCUUUGCUAGACAGAACACCUGCUCCCUGGUAACCAGAAGCAAGAAGGAAUCCAUAAGUACACAGCAGAUAGGAGUGAUGAUUUAGUGUGCUGAAAUAAGAGAAAUCCUUUUUGAUGUUUUCUGAGUCUCAGGGCAAUCAUCACCUAUAAUUAAAAGGACAGAAAGAUGUGUAGAAGGUCAAAGAAGAGAGGUAUUAACCAGAUUUCUGGGAAUCCCUGAUUAGCUAUCCAUCACCUCUCAGAGUGUAUAGGGCUCCACAUUUACUUCUCCUUGCUUACUCUUUCAUCUUGUCUCAUUUUGAUGACUCAGUGAUUCCUAUCUAGAUAGGCCUCCUGAAUCCAUAGGUAUUUCACAUCUCUGUGUCUUUGCUUACAUGUUUUCCUCUACUUUGAAUAUAACCCUUUGAUAUGGUUUUCAAAAACCUACACAGAGUUACACUAGCAUCCAAAAGAAUGAAAUACCCAAGGACUGAAUUUAACUAAAAAGAAUAUUCAACUACAAAAUAUUGCUGAAAAAAAAUCUUUAAAGACUUAAAUAAAUGAUAAGGCAUUCUCAAUUCAUGGAUUGGAAGACUUAAUGUUGUUAAGAUGACAAUAUUACCCAAAGCAAUCUACAUAUUACCCAUGCAAUCCUUUCCAAAAGUCUUUUUUUUUUUCCCAGAAAUGGAAAAUCUGAUACUCAAGUAUAUAUGGAACUGCAAGGGGCCCCAAAGAGCCAAAACAAUCUUGAAAAAAGAACAAAUUUGAAGGAUACCCACUUCCUUAUUUCAAAACUUAAUGUAAAACUCUAGUUAUGACAUAAGGAUAAAUGUAUAGACCAAUGGAAUAGAAUUAAGAGUCAGAAAUAAUCCUUUACAUAUACGAUGAAUUGACUUUCAACAAGGGUGCCAAGGCCAUUCAAUGGGGAAAGAAUAAUCUCUUCAAUAAAUGUGCUGGGAGUUCCCGAGUGGCCUAGCAAUUAAGGACUGGGUAUUCUCACUGCUGUGGCUUAGGUGUCUGCUAUGACUUAGGUUUGAUCGCUGGCCUAAGAACUUCUGCAUGCUUUGGGCACAGCAGAAAAAAAAAAAAAAGUGCUGGGAUAAAUGGAUGUCUAUAUACAAAAAAAUGAAAUUGGACCCUUACCUUCUACCAUAUACAGAAAUGAACUCAAAAUAAAUAAAGGACCUAAGUAUAAGAACUAAAACCAUAAAAGUCUUAGAAGAAAACAUAUCAAUAAAUGCGUCACCUGGGAUUUGGCAGUGUGUUCUUAGUACACAAAAACAUGAGCAAAAGAAAAUAAAUUAGACUUAAUCAAAAUUAAAAACCUUUGUGCAUCAAAUGAUACUAUCAAGAGAGUAAAAAGAGGAGUUCCCUGGUGGCUCAAUGAGUUAAGGAUCCUGUGUUGCCACAGCUGUGUCAUAGGUCACAGUUGUACCUCGGAUUCUAUCCCUGGCCCAGGAACAUCCAUAUGCCACUGGCGUGGCCAAAAAAAGAGAGAGAGUAAAAAGACAAUCUGGGAGUUCCCAUUGUGGUUCAGUGGGUUACAAAUCCAGCUAACAUCCAUGAGGAUAUGAGUUUGAUCCUGGGCCUCGCUCAGGGGGUAAGGAUCUGGUGUUGCCCAAACUGCAGUGUAGUUCGAACAUGUGGCUUGGAUCUGGUGUGGCUGUGGUUGUGGCAUAGGCUGGCAACUAUAGCUCCAUUUCAACUCCUAGCCUGGAAAAUUCCAUAUGCCU
RNAcentral lists this long non-coding RNA (4180 nucleotides) under Sus scrofa (pig). RNAcentral's name for it is "lncRNA (ENSSSCG00000056819.1)". The record is from RNAcentral. Lineage: Eukaryota; Metazoa; Chordata; Mammalia; Artiodactyla; Suidae.